UACAGAGGGGGCAAGCGUUGUUCGGAAUUACUGGGCGUAAAGGGCGCGUAGGCGGCCCGCUAAGUCGGAUGUGAAAUCCCUCGGCUCAACCGAGGAACUGCAUCCGAUACUGGCGGGCUUGAAUCCGGGAGAGGGAUGUGGAAUUCCAGGUGUAGCGGUGAAAUGCGUAGAUAUCUGGAGGAACACCGGUGGCGAAGGCGGCAUCCUGGACCGGUAUUGACGCUGAGGCGCGAAAGCUAGGGGAGCAAACGGG
Molecule: ribosomal RNA, 253 nt
Filed under: uncultured bacterium
Lineage: Bacteria
Description: partial 16S ribosomal RNA
Rfam family: Bacterial small subunit ribosomal RNA
Source: RNAcentral